RNAcentral lists this long non-coding RNA (1958 nucleotides) under Triticum aestivum (bread wheat). RNAcentral describes it as "long non-coding RNA (TAES_LNC007076)". Lineage: Eukaryota; Viridiplantae; Streptophyta; Magnoliopsida; Poales; Poaceae. The record is from RNAcentral.
GCGCGUCCUGUGCUUGCGACAGCUGCUGAUGGUAGAGCAGAAGACUUGCAGGGGUAACCAUCUGCAAGCUCAACAUGAUCGUUCACAUGACCGUCGCCGUCGCGAGAUUUGUUAUCAAGGUCCAUGUCAUCUCCUCUAACUCCGGCUUCACCCCCUUCCCAUUCCUUUCCGAAUUCGUGUGUUGAUUGAACCAGAAAUUAAGUUUGUCUAUUUCUGAAUUUCUAAUAUGUAUCUCUUGAGUUCACGUGCAAUGCAACAUUUAUUUAUAAGUUCUGAACUUGAAUUUUGUGCAUACAGUUGCAUACCUGCAUAUACAGUAGUGAACCACACACGUGAAUGGGAGAGGAGGGGAAGAAGAGGAUGCAUCCUGAAGACAGAGGUCGAGAAGCUUGCGGAGGCAGGAAGAUCGGGUACAAGGUGAGAAUCUCUAUAAACCCAUGUUUGCUGUUGUCUUGGCAGGCCUUGCCCCUCACUGCUCCAUCACCAGAGCCUCCAUCUUCCUAGAUCCCACUGUUCCGUGAUGAACAUAUCCCUUGCCACCGAACGCUCCAGUUGUGGUACACUCACAAUUCCAAAUGAUAGGGUACAUAUUUUGGAUAUAUAUAAUUCAGAUCUCUGUGUUCUAUCAAUCUUACUAAGACGUUUUGUAUCCUUACAGGAUAUCACAAUUGCAAGUAAGAGUUGAAGGAAACCAUGUUCCAGCAGAUAAAAGUCUACAUAAGCUGGACUGAUGUUGUUAUUCCGAUCAUGGUUUUGUUUCUGCAGGCUUGACGGAUUAACUCCUUGGUGUACAUAAAGGCAAGGGACGUAGUUAGUUGUCUUCCAAAUUCUGACGGUUACUCUGGGUUUCAAGGCUUGUUUAGUGUGGCAUAUGGUGCUCCUAAGUCAUGCAAUGGAUGCACAAUAUGUAUCAUUCUGUACUGGGUAUGUUCUUGGCAUCUGGUUGUGCUUUUGCUCUAUGGUAAAUGAAAGGCCAAAGAAUGAAAGAAAACUUUUGUCUAGCUCUUUGUCUUCUAUCAUGUGAUUCUGCUGUUGAGGCAUGAUUGUGAUCAGAUAUUCUUGCUUCCUUCGAACACCAUUUUGUUGAAUGAUUCUGCACAAAUGUGAUGCCAUAUAUGUUAAAUAUGUGCAUUCUUUUAGGUAAUAUCCAAAUGAAACUGACAAAAGUACCGGAGUAUUUUCUUUCUUUGGUAAAUAAAAGUACCAUGCCAAAAGAUGUUUUGUCUUACUAAGAUUAUUGAAGGAAAAAACAUCUUCUGAUUUCUUGAAACUAUCAUUUAGUAUAUAAAAGUUACAUAAUAAUAUUAGUAAUGUUUAGUGUUAAUCUUCAUAAUGAGUUAUGUACUGUCUUGGGGUAUUCUGAAAUAAUAAUAAUAUCAGUUAUAUUGUAGGAUAUUUUCUAAUAGCAAUUGUUGUACGUACAUUAUCGCUGAAAGAUUCUAAGAUAGUUAAUAUCUUCUUUUGAUAGAUAAUAUUUUGUAGUUAGAUAAUAUUUCAUUGAUAUUUUCAAACUUUUUUCCGUUUUGCAGAUUGCAGAGAUUUUAGAAGUAAUUAUUUGAUGGCUUUUGAGACUUUGUUUCUAUAUCAUCUUCUAGAUAGCCAAACUGAAUCGCUCCGUAGACUAGCAGAUCCACUAAAUUGGUGCAGUGGAUGCUAAUUUCCAAGGCAACACCAAUAUGAGCAUAAGGACCAUCAAAUGUAUCAUGUAUGAUUUGUUCAAGGAAUACUAGAUUAUCCUCCCCGCAGAAAGGACUAUCAGAGGUUUCAUGUUGCAUUGCUUCUAGAUGGCAAGUCCGACCAAUUGUUGAGAUUUAUGUGAAUAACCAUUCUGGUAAGAAGUUCACGCAGAGUGUGACAAAAGGGUUGGGUCAAAAUAAAGUACAUGUAUUACUAAAAUCCAUCCGUCUCAUCUCAUGCAUGCAUAACCAGGUCGAUGGUAAUUUGUCUACUACUCUACU